AGAGCGGGAGCCCGGAGAUGGGCACUGAGACAAGGGCCCAGGCCCUACGGGGCGCAGCAGUCGCGAAAACUCCGCAAUGCGCGAAAGCGUGACGGGGCUACCCCGAGUGCCGUCCGCUGAGGAUGGCUUUUCCCCGGUGUAAUGAGCCGGGAGAAUAAGGAGAGGGCAAGACUGGUGUCAGCCGCCGCGGUAAUACCAGCUCUCCGAGUGGUAGGGACGAUUAUUGGGCUUAAAGCGUCCGUAGCCGGCUUAGCAAGUCUCCUGUUAAAUUCAGCGACUCAAUCGUUGAGCCGCGGGAGAUACUACUAGGCUAGGAGGCGGGAGAGGUCGACGGUAUUCCCGGGGGAGGGGUGAAAUCCUAUAAUCCCGGGAGGACCACCAGUGGCGAAGGCUGUCGGCU
Molecule: ribosomal RNA, 400 nt
Filed under: uncultured archaeon
Lineage: Archaea
Description: bacterial SSU rRNA
Rfam family: Archaeal small subunit ribosomal RNA
Source: RNAcentral